AUAAUAAAGUAAGCUAAUUUAAGCUGUUGGGUUCAUACCCCGAAAAUAAAUAAUUUGAUGUAUUUCUUUAUU
RNAcentral lists this transfer RNA (72 nucleotides) under Todarodes pacificus (Japanese flying squid). Its description in RNAcentral is "tRNA-Met". The record is from RNAcentral. Lineage: Eukaryota; Metazoa; Mollusca; Cephalopoda; Oegopsida; Ommastrephidae.